CCUACGGGUGGCAGCAGUGGGGAAUAUUGGGCAAUGGAGGCAACUCUUACCCAGCAAUGCCGCGUGAAUGAAGAAGGUCUUCCGAUUUUUAAGUUCUUUAAUUGGGGGCGAAAAAAAUGACUGUACCCAUGCAAUAAGCCUCGGCGAACAACGUGCCAGUAGCCGCUGUAUUACGUAGGGGGCAAGCGUUGUUCGGAAUGACUGGUCGUAAAGGGUGUGUAGGCGGUGUAGCAAGUGAGAAGGGAAAUACCUAGGGCUUAACUCAGGUGCUGCUUCUAAAACUGCUAUACUUGAGUGCAGUAGAGGAAAGUGGAAUUCCUGGUGUAGCGGUGGAAUGCGUAGAUAUUAGGAGGAACAUUAGUGGCGAAGGCGACUUUCUGGACUGUAACUGACGCUGAGGCACGAAAGUGUGGGGAGCGAACAGGAUUAGAUACCCCUGUAGUC
This 444-nucleotide ribosomal RNA is filed under the name uncultured bacterium. Its description in RNAcentral is "partial 16S ribosomal RNA". It matches the Rfam family "Bacterial small subunit ribosomal RNA", at positions 338 to 795 of the family's 1533-position model. The record is from RNAcentral.